UGCAUAUCAUAUAUAAUUACUCAUUGAGGUAUGCACCUGAGGAUCUGAUAUACUUUAAACACAUUAUUCCUCAAAACUUUUUUAAAAGGGGAAAUAAUAGUCUUUUCAACAAAUAGUGCUGGUAGAACUGGAUAUCUAUAUGCAAAAGAAUGAAGUUGGACCUCAUCCUUAUACAAUAUACAAAAAUUAACUCAAAAUAUACCACAUAUCUAAAUGUAAGAACAAGACUCCCUAGCUGGUUUGGCUCAGUGGAUAGAGUGUUGGUCUGUGGACAGAAGGGUCCCAGGUUUGAUUCCAUUGUGGGCUUGAUCCCCAGUAGGGGGUGUGCAGGAGGCAGCCAACCAAUGAUUCUCUCUCAUCAUUGAUGUUUCUAUCUCUCUCUCCCUCUCCCUUUGUCUCUGAAAUCAAUAAAAAAAUAUUU
Long non-coding RNA from Myotis daubentonii (Daubenton's bat), 421 nucleotides. RefSeq lists it as uncharacterized. The record is from RefSeq and is a predicted model, not a curated record. Lineage: Eukaryota; Metazoa; Chordata; Mammalia; Chiroptera; Vespertilionidae.